Molecule: long non-coding RNA, 746 nt
Organism: Dromaius novaehollandiae (emu)
Lineage: Eukaryota; Metazoa; Chordata; Aves; Casuariiformes; Dromaiidae
Exons: 3
Source: RefSeq, a predicted model, not a curated record
CACCCUUUGCAAACAGAACACACCUCCUGUCUUACCACAUCCUCUCAAUGAUUUUUAGCAUUGCUGCCUUUCCAAAAAGAGGACUUCAGCCUUGUUACUGCAUUUGUGCAAGCAGGCUGUGAAGGGAGGGGAAGUGGGAAGUCCUGCUGACUGAUCUCACACCUGGUGUGUUUGUGUAGCAUCACAGCCGCUCUAGGAAGGACUUGUAUCCUGCCAGUUACGGCCUGGCAGUGUAGCUCCAUGAGAUGGUGCGGGAGAUAUGCUCAGCUUCUGCAGAUUUGAGCAAUGCCAGCUUAAACUGAAAAUGAGUAAAGGGAGUAAGAAGAAUAGCCCGUUCUUCUAGUGAAAAUAUUAACAGUACAUCUGGAAGAAGAAAGGCAUCUUAGUCCUCAUAAGGCAAGUGAACAUUUGGAAAGGUAAGGUACAAAACCUGGGAUGGGAAAAUGCUGAAUAUUGACAAUCUAUCUUAAAGACCAGAGUAGAUGUUGCCAUAACUAUAAAAUUUCCUGGCAUUAAUGAUACAGUUAUGAAGGUGAUGGAGUUUUUUCCCCUUAUUUUUGUAUGCCUUGCAUUUGAAUUGCAGACAAUGUUCCUAAAACAAGAAGUCUGUAAUCUGUGCAUCUACUGGUUCUUGUACACAUGCACGUACACAUGUGUGUUUGUGCACUGAGAUUUAAACUAUCCACUAUUUCUUCACCUUCCAGUGUCGUCUUGGAUUUUUGGAGGUGUGUGGGUUUUUCUGUUUU